UACGUAGGGUGCGAGCGUUAAUCGGAAUUACUGGGCGUAAAGCGUGCGCAGGCGGUUGGCAAAGUCAGCUGUGAAAGUCACAGGCUCAACCUGUGAAUGCCGCAGGAAACUGUCUGGCUUGAGUCCGGAAGGGGCGAGUGGAAUUCCUGGUGUAGCGGUGAAAUGCGCAGAUAUCAGGAGGAACACCAAUGGCGAAGGCAGCUCGCUGGAACGGUACUGACGCUGAGGCGCGAAAGCCAGGGGAGCAAACGGG
This 253-nucleotide ribosomal RNA is filed under the name uncultured bacterium. RNAcentral's name for it is "partial 16S ribosomal RNA". It matches the Rfam family "Bacterial small subunit ribosomal RNA", at positions 524 to 776 of the family's 1533-position model. The record is from RNAcentral.